This 260-nucleotide ribosomal RNA is filed under the name uncultured prokaryote. RNAcentral describes it as "partial 16S ribosomal RNA". It matches the Rfam family "Bacterial small subunit ribosomal RNA", at positions 524 to 782 of the family's 1533-position model. The record is from RNAcentral.
UACGUAGGGUGCGAGCGUUGUCCGGAAUUACUGGGCGUAAAGAGCUCGUAGGUGGUUUGUCACGACGUCUGUGAAAUUCCGGGGCUUAACCUCGGGCGUGCAGGCGAUACGGGCAAUACUUGAGUGCUGUAGGGGAGACUGGAAUUCCUGGUGUAGCGGUGAAAUGCGCAGAUAUCAGGAGGAACACCAAUGGCGAAGGCAGGUCUCUGGGCAGUUACUGACGCUGAGGAGCGAAAGCAUGGGUAGCGAACAGGAUUAGA